Molecule: long non-coding RNA, 436 nt
Filed under: Phoenix dactylifera (date palm)
Lineage: Eukaryota; Viridiplantae; Streptophyta; Magnoliopsida; Arecales; Arecaceae
Description: long non-coding RNA (PDAC_LNC021855)
Source: RNAcentral
UUUAGCCGAGAGCAAAUUGCCAAGGCUGCAACUUCUCAUCAAAAAACCAAGAAUUCAAAGAUGAAGGAGGAGCAGCUGCUUCCUACACAAACAAGUGACAUUACUGCCUGAGUCUAGCUUGAGAUUAUGUGCCGGAUGAAACCAAUUCAUUGUUUGCAGAAGUGAGAACAUUCAGACAUAUAUCUAUAUAGAAGUGAUGGUGUGAGUGAUAAUUUUCUGUUGUUUUUUAUUUUUUAAAUCAUUGAUUAUGCAGAAUAAAAGAGGCCACUUGCCAUUGAUGCUGUAAAAAUUAUUGAGUAUAUAAAUGCAUGUGCUUUCAUGUGAAGAAACAUUGUAGAUUGGCUGUCCAAGGAGUGGGCCUUCUUGUUCCUGCUAGGUUCUUUCACCAAGAUUUGCAUGGCCACCUGGAUGACUGGGACUCGACAUGCUCUUUUCU